This 1442-nucleotide ribosomal RNA is filed under the name Escherichia coli. Its description in RNAcentral is "partial 16S ribosomal RNA". The record is from RNAcentral. Lineage: Bacteria; Pseudomonadati; Pseudomonadota; Gammaproteobacteria; Enterobacterales; Enterobacteriaceae.
UAGGUAACACGUAAAGAUGCAUGUCGAACGGUAACAGAAAGCAGCUUGCUGCUUUGCUGACGAGUGGCGGACGGGUGAGUAAUGUCUGGGAAACUGCCCGAUGGAGGGGGAUAACUACUGGAAACGGUAGCUAAUACCGCAUAACGUCGCAAGACCAAAGAGGGGGACCUUCGGGCCUCUUGCCAUCGGAUGUGCCCAGAUGGGAUUAGCUAGUAGGUGGGGUAAAGGCUCACCUAGGCGACGAUCCCUAGCUGGUCUGAGAGGAUGACCAGCCACACUGGAACUGAGACACGGUCCAGACUCCUACGGGAGGCAGCAGUGGGGAAUAUUGCACAAUGGGCGCAAGCCUGAUGCAGCCAUGCCGCGUGUAUGAAGAAGGCCUUCGGGUUGUAAAGUACUUUCAGCGGGGAGGAAGGGAGUAAAGUUAWWACCUUUGCUCAUUGACGUUACCCGCAGAAGAAGCACCGGCUAACUCCGUGCCAGCAGCCGCGGUAAUACGGAGGGUGCAAGCGUUAAUCGGAAUUACUGGGCGUAAAGCGCACGCAGGCGGUUUGUUAAGUCAGAUGUGAAAUCCCCGGGCUCAACCUGGGAACUGCAUCUGAUACUGGCAAGCUUGAGUCUCGUAGAGGGGGGUAGAAUUCCAGGUGUAGCGGUGAAAUGCGUAGAGAUCUGGAGGAAUACCGGUGGCGAAGGCGGCCCCCUGGACGAAGACUGACGCUCAGGUGCGAAAGCGUGGGGAGCAAACAGGAUUAGAUACCCUGGUAGUCCACGCCGUAAACGAUGUCGACUUGGAGGUUGUGCCCUUGAGGCGUGGCUUCCGGAGCUAACGCGUUAAGUCGACCGCCUGGGGAGUACGGCCGCAAGGUUAAAACUCAAAUGAAUUGACGGGGGCCCGCACAAGCGGUGGAGCAUGUGGUUUAAUUCGAUGCAACGCGAAGAACCUUACCUGGUCUUGACAUCCACGGAAGUUUUCAGAGAUGAGAAUGUGCCUUCGGGAACCGUGAGACAGGUGCUGCAUGGCUGUCGUCAGCUCGUGUUGUGAAAUGUUGGGGUUAAGUCCCGCAACGAGCGCAACCCUUAUCYUUKKKUGCCAGCGGUCSGGCCGGGAMYYMAARGRRRMYKSCMRKKRWWAAMYKGGAGGAAGGUGGGGGAUGACGUCAAGUCAUCAUUGGCCCUUACGAMCMRRGSYACACACGUGCUACAAUGGCGCAUACAAAGAGAAGCGACCUCGCGAGAGCAAGCGGACCUCAUAAAGUGCGUCGUAGUCCGGAUUGGAGUCUGCAACUCGACUCCAUGAAGUCGGAAUCGCUAGUAAUCGUGGAUCAGAAUGCCACGGUGAAUACGUUCCCGGGCCUUGUACACACCGCCCGUCACACCAUGGGAGUGGGUUGCAAAAGAAGUAGGUAGCUUAACCUUCGUGACGGCGUAUCACCAUAGAUGUU